GGAGGCGAGAGGGUGCCUGGUGGCCCCCGCGGUCUUCAAAACCGCAGGUCGCGAGUAUCUCGGGACGGCGGGUUCGAUUCCCGUUCGCCUCCGCCA
RNAcentral lists this transfer RNA (96 nucleotides) under Actinomadura kijaniata. Its description in RNAcentral is "tRNA-Sec". It matches the Rfam family "Selenocysteine transfer RNA". The record is from RNAcentral. Lineage: Bacteria; Bacillati; Actinomycetota; Actinomycetes; Streptosporangiales; Thermomonosporaceae.